RNAcentral lists this non-coding RNA (30 nucleotides) under Mus musculus (house mouse). The record is from RNAcentral. Lineage: Eukaryota; Metazoa; Chordata; Mammalia; Rodentia; Muridae.
UGGAACAAAGGUCUAAUGACAAGUGUCAUU